AAACCAACCGGGAUUGCCUCAGUAACGGCGAGUGAAGCGGCAAAAGCUCAAAUUUGAAAUCUGGCCCUGUGGUCCGAAUUGUAAUUUGAAGAAGCGACUCUGGUACCGGCCCUUGUCUAUGUUCCUUGGAACAGGACGUCACAGAGGGUGAGAAUCCCGUGCGAUGGGGAGUCCGGAGCCAUGUAGAGCGUUUUCGACGAGUCGAGUUGUUUGGGAAUGCAGCUCUAAGUGGGUGGUAAAUUCCAUCUAAAGCUAAAUACAGGCGAGAGACCGAUAGCGAACAAGUACUGUGAAGGAAAGAUGAAAAGAACUUUGAAAAGAGAGUGAAAAAGUACGUGAAAUUGUUGAAAGGGAAGGGCUUGGGAUCAGACUUUGUAUUUCCAUGGCGUUCUUUCGGGAGCGUCCUCUGGGUUUACGGGGCCAGCAUGGGUUCUGCGGGCAAGACAAGGGGGCCAGGAACGUGGCUCUGCUUCGGCGGAGUGUUAUAGCCUGGACUUUCGGUUGCCACGCGGGACUGAGGACUGCGAAUCUAGGAUGCUGGCAUAAU
This 547-nucleotide ribosomal RNA is filed under the name Suhomyces sp. RNAcentral describes it as "LSU rRNA". It matches the Rfam family "Eukaryotic large subunit ribosomal RNA", at positions 62 to 635 of the family's 3401-position model. The record is from RNAcentral. Lineage: Eukaryota; Fungi; Ascomycota; Pichiomycetes; Serinales; Debaryomycetaceae.